UACGUAGGGUGCGAGCGUUGUCCGGAAUUAUUGGGCGUAAAGGGCUCGUAGGCGGUCUGUCGCGUCGGUAGUGAAAACUCAGGGCUUAACCCUGAGCCUGCUUCCGAUACGGGCAGACUAGAGGUAUGCAGGGGAGAAUGGAAUUCCUGGUGUAGCGGUGAAAUGCGCAGAUAUCAGGAGGAACACCAGUGGCGAAGGCGGUUCUCUGGGCAUUACCUGACGCUGAGGAGCAAAAGUGUGGGGAGCGAACAGG
RNAcentral lists this ribosomal RNA (253 nucleotides) under uncultured bacterium. Its description in RNAcentral is "partial 16S ribosomal RNA". It matches the Rfam family "Bacterial small subunit ribosomal RNA", at positions 524 to 776 of the family's 1533-position model. The record is from RNAcentral.